GUCACACCUAACUUCAUUGUCUCAUCCUACCACUAUAUUUAGUUAAGUUUCACAUUCAAACCACUGCCAGAACCAACUUCCUCUUCUUCGACUCCGACUAAGUCCGGCGAGUGUUCUUUAGUCUACUGUUCACCCUUCCCGCAGCCCUUGCAAAGCCGCUCCCUGGCUCAGAAGCCCUUCCUCUGUAAGCCCCAGACUCGCCCUGGUCUCUCGAUCUCACCCAGUGUCAGGAAUGCUCCUACAAUGGAACAAGUUCUGCGUCUCGGUCAGUCAGAUUCCCGCCAGUGGAUUCGGGCCGUGACAGGACCCUACUGUGUCCACAGGGAGAGCAGAGCGAGGCUUCCCUCCCACUGACUAACGCGACCUUACCUGGCUGAGGCGCCACAGCGGCAGACGCGCUGGGAGGCGAGGAGGGUAUCCCGCAACGGUUCAGGUCCCGCGGCCGCUUCUCUAGCCGCCGGACCAACCAGCGCACGGCGAUGAGCAGCACGGAGGCACCUAGGAGCUCCCAGGCCAGCGCUGCCCACUCAACCACAGCCAACCGCUGCCACAGCAUCGCCACCGCCGACGCCGAGGCCUAGAGCGCGGGCGCCGGAGUUAUAGUCCGCGCCGCGCACACCUCAGGCCCUCACUAGGCCGCUCGCUUCGCUGCCGGAGCCGCGCAGGCCUUAGGCCUCCGCCCCGCCGCGGGGUUACAGAAGUUACAGCCUGACAGGAGACGGCGAGGCGGGGUGCGCGUGCAGUCCGGUGUCUUUCGUUUCCCAACGAUCAAGCCAGAACGCCUCCAGGAACCCAGCCUCCGGCGGCUUCGGAGGCAACCGGGGUCCUGAUUCAAGCGAGACGCCGUCUGGCAGUGGCGCGGGCAGCAUGUCAGGGGCCUGAGUCGGGCUCGGCGCUCUGGCUGGGCGCGGCUUGUUCUUCAGUGCCGUGGGCGCUUCGUCUUGAGUUGUUGCCGCGGGUCUGGGGAUUGGAGAGCCAGGAGCUGGCACCUGGGCCACCAAGACUGUGGCCAGAGGAGCCGGUCAGAGUCCUUGACAGAGUACUGGCAACAAUCUGAUCCACCAACAAUCACAAGGUGACCAAGUGCCAAGGAGCAAGGCUGAGCAGACAGGAAAUACAGGUGUUACCUCAUCUUCCAGCUCCAGCACCUUCUCCCGGGACUCUUCCAGUUCCUGGCUAGUCAUUGUGAUCACCUCCUGUAACUCCUUCUCCAACAAUAUCUUGCUUUGGCCAACAUUCUGCAGUUCCACCUCCAGAGCCCGAAUCUUCUCCUGAGAGCCAAAAUGGGAGUCAUGUUUAGUCAACGGCCCUUCCCUCCUGCAACUCUCAUGGACACAUAAUUGACUACAGCCUAGAUUUUGUAGUUGUUGUUUUUAAAUUUUUAUUAAAUUUUUGAAUUUGUGUGUGUA
This is a long non-coding RNA of Peromyscus eremicus (cactus mouse), 1409 nucleotides long. RefSeq lists it as uncharacterized. The transcript has 2 exons. Lineage: Eukaryota; Metazoa; Chordata; Mammalia; Rodentia; Cricetidae. The record is from RefSeq and is a predicted model, not a curated record.